RNAcentral lists this ribosomal RNA (508 nucleotides) under uncultured bacterium. RNAcentral's name for it is "partial 16S ribosomal RNA". It matches the Rfam family "Bacterial small subunit ribosomal RNA", at positions 28 to 523 of the family's 1533-position model. The record is from RNAcentral.
GAUGAACGCUAGCUACAGGCUUAACACAUGCAAGUCGAGGGGAAACGAUAUUGGAAGCUUGCUUCCGAUAGGCGUCGACCGGCGCACGGGUGAGUAACGCGUAUCCAACCUGCCCAUCACUUGGGGAUAACCUUGCGAAAGUAAGACUAAUACCCAAUGACGUCUCUAGAAGACAUCUGAAGGAGAUUAAAGAUUUAUCGGUGAUGGAUGGGGAUGCGUCUGAUUAGCUUGUUGGCGGGGUAACGGCCCACCAAGGCGACGAUCAGUAGGGGUUCUAAGAGGAAGGUCCCCCACAUUGGAACUGAGACACGGUCCAAACUCCUACGGGAGGCAGCAGUGAGGAAUAUUGGUCAAUGGGCGAGAGCCUGAACCAGCCAAGUAGCGUGCAGGAAGACGGCCCUAUGGGUUGUAAACUGCUUUUAUAAGGGAAUAAAGUGGGAGUCGUGACUCCUUUUGCAUGUACCUUAUGAAUAAGGACCGGCUAAUUCCGUGCCAGCAGCCGCCGUAA